UAAGCGAUGCAGUCACACAGAGUGGGGUC
This 29-nucleotide non-coding RNA is filed under the name Homo sapiens (human). Lineage: Eukaryota; Metazoa; Chordata; Mammalia; Primates; Hominidae. The record is from RNAcentral.